Molecule: long non-coding RNA, 388 nt
Filed under: Mus musculus (house mouse)
Lineage: Eukaryota; Metazoa; Chordata; Mammalia; Rodentia; Muridae
Description: predicted gene, 49965
Source: RNAcentral
GAGGACACAGAGGAGGAGGAGGAGGAAGAAGGAGAAAAGUGGAGCAGAAGUACAUGGUUUGGAGAAACUGAAAGUUCGAAGGGUUCUCAUAAGCUCUGAAAGAUGGAGUGUAUUGGAAGCUCUGCUCUGAGAUAGCUGCCAUAGAGAAGAUCGGAGGACCUGGUUCCUAGAUAAUUCCGGAAGUGACAUCCUGAGUCACCUCUCCAUACCAUAGAGCUGGAAGGGGUUGCUGUCAGGGGUCCAGGAACUCCUCUGCCUAGAAAGGAAAGUUAGCAGUGACCAACUGGGAGAGGGACAAGAGCAUGUGGCUGGAUUGGAAGUGGCCACGAAGGUCACAUCUGGCUUGGUGUCCUCACCUCCUGACAUAGGGGUCUGAGUAUCUCCAGUG